Molecule: ribosomal RNA, 220 nt
Filed under: Enterobacter hormaechei
Lineage: Bacteria; Pseudomonadati; Pseudomonadota; Gammaproteobacteria; Enterobacterales; Enterobacteriaceae
Also listed under: 2 other names
Description: partial 23S ribosomal RNA
Rfam family: Bacterial large subunit ribosomal RNA
Source: RNAcentral
GGUGUUCGGGUUGUCAUGCCAAUGGCACUGCCCGGUAGCUAAAUGCGGAAGAGAUAAGUGCUGAAAGCAUCUAAGCACGAAACUUGCCCCGAGAUGAGUUCUCCCUGAGACUUUAAGUCUCCUGAAGGAACGUUGAAGACGACGACGUUGAUAGGUCGGGUGUGUAAGCGCAGCGAUGCGUUGAGCUAACCGAUACUAAUGAACCGUGAGGCUUAACCUU